AUGCGAUACGUAAUGUGAAUUGCAGAUUCUCGUGAAUCAUUGAAUUUUUGAACGCAUAUUGCGCCUUAUGGUAUUCCAUAGGGCAUGCCUGUCUGAGCGUCAGCUCCCCCCUAAUCAAGCAGUUUUGUUUGGAUUACUUUGGAAAAGCUGUUUUUUAUAUACAGCUUUCCAUAAAAGCAUAGGUAGUAUGGCUUUCCAAGGGAGGCAAUUGUCACCUUGGAGCUCUCGUACUUUUGCCACAAAACCCACUCAUUUUUUUUUUGGGUGACCUCAGAUCAGGUAGGGAUACCCGCUGAACUUAA
Molecule: unclassified non-coding RNA, 302 nt
Filed under: uncultured Peziza
Lineage: Eukaryota; Fungi; Ascomycota; Pezizomycetes; Pezizales; Pezizaceae
Description: partial contains 5.8S ribosomal RNA, internal transcribed spacer 2, and large subunit ribosomal RNA
Rfam family: 5.8S ribosomal RNA (bases 1-102)
Source: RNAcentral